CAAAACAUGGCAAUGUAUUUCAGAAACACAAAAUAAGUUUCAAGUUCCUUGUAAACAUCCCGCUCUGUCCUUUGGAAGGUGCUUCUGGGAACGAGCCUGCGCAAGUUUCUCUCCUCUACUUGGGAGACAUAGAGAUCUCAGAAGAUGCCACGCUGGCGGAGCUGAAGUCUCAGGCCAUGACCUUGCCUCCUUUCCUGGAGUUCGGUGUCCCGUUCCCAGCCCACCUCAGAGCCUGGACGGUGGAGAGGAAGCGCCCAGGCAGGCUUUUACGAACUGACCGGCAGCCACUCAGGGAAUAUAAACUAGGACGGAGAAUUGAGAUCUGCUUAGAGCCCCUUCAGAAAGGCGAAAACUUGGGCCCCCAGGACGUGCUGCUGAGGACACAGGUGCGCAUCCCUGGUGAGAGGACCUACACCCCUGCCCUGGACCUGGUGUGGAACGUGGCCCAGGGUGGGACUGCCGGCUCCCUGAGGCAGAGAGUUGCCGAUUUCUAUUGUCUUCCCGUGGAGAAGAUUGAAAUUGCCAAAUACUUUCCCGAAAAGUUCGAGUGGCUUCCGAUAUCUAGCUGGAACCAACAAAUAACCAAGAGG
This 590-nucleotide small RNA is filed under the name Pan troglodytes (chimpanzee). Its description in RNAcentral is "retained intron". The record is from RNAcentral. Lineage: Eukaryota; Metazoa; Chordata; Mammalia; Primates; Hominidae.